Molecule: RNA transcript, 4854 nt
Organism: Tachysurus vachellii
Lineage: Eukaryota; Metazoa; Chordata; Actinopteri; Siluriformes; Bagridae
Exons: 4
Source: RefSeq, a predicted model, not a curated record
UAAGUCCAGAGAAAAAUUAAGGUUUUGAUAUUAAGAUAAUCUACUUUUUCACAAUAUAAUACAUAGUGCUAGUAGGUGUAAGUUUAUUACUUACAUUCUUCCACUUGAGUAAACUUCAAAUGAACAAUCACUACUUACCUUAUAGCCUACUGCAUGCAGCACUGCUACAAUAGGGUGACUAUUACAUGUUAAUUUAAACAUUUAAAUUGUAUUGGUUUAUUAAAUAUGAUACACAAAGCAAUUUGCAGGUGGAAGCAAACCACAAAUUUGAGAGGAACAUAAUGUGAAAGUUAAAUAGUUGAGGUGCUAAAAACUUUUCAAUUUUUUAUUUAUUCUUUCCCGCAAUACUUUUGCAACUUUAAAUAAGUAUGUACUAAAGUCACAUAAACCAAAAAAAAAAAAACAAAGUUUGACUUUGAGGCUGAACUGCCAACCUAACUGGUGACAUCCUUCCAGGACUGUCAGCUGAGUUAACCAUUUAAAAAAAGUGUUUAGUGUCCCUGCAACUUGUCCAUGACUGACGUCUCUGUUUAUCACUUGGGAAUCUACAAAUUCAGAUUCUAAUUAUUUUAUUUAAUACCAUGUCAGCAAGCAAAGGCUAUUUUAAUGGCAAAUAUUCAAUUACAAAAACACAAAUAUCAUAUAAAUACAACAAAAACAAAACAAAUAUAAACAGCAAGUCAUAUUAUAAAUUUUUUUAAUUAACAUAAGAUUAAAAAAAAUCAAGUUCAAGUUCUCUUUAUUAUCAAUCUUCCACAUGUACAGUACAUACAGGGAAUUGAAAUUGCGUUACUGUCAGUCCCAAGGUGCAUGCAGAUCCAAACCCUUUUCAGGCAUAAUGUCAUUAUAUAUGUCCUUAAGUGAAGUAACUUGAUAAAAGAGCAUUCUGCUUGCGUUAAGUCCAGGACAAUCUAAUAAAAUAUGUUUAACAGAUAAGGGAAUCUUACAGAACAUACAUACAGUUGGGUCUUCACCUUUAAGCAAAAAAAGCAUGGGUCAAUUUUUAAUGUCCUUAUUAAGAGCUUCGGAAUCUACAAACAUUGUCGGUUUUCCUAACUGUCAAAAACUAAUGGGUAACUAGCAGAGAUUAGCUGCGGUCGUUAACCAAGGACUGAAACAAACCAAACGUAACCAGAAAUAUAAUUUCCUAACAUUCAAUAUCAUAAAACACAUUCUCACUUGUGAAAUGUAAUCCCUUGCUGUCUGGUUUUUAUAUUUCUUUCGUUUGAACAUCCAAACGCAGAACAGAAGCCCAGCAUCGUCCAUGCAUUUAAAGUACAAGAGCACUGUACAAAGAUGGCGGCGGAUUUGACGCAUUUUUAGGACCUCAAGGUGACAUCUAUGUAUAGAUAUCUAUGGGUUGCAGUGUUGUGCUAGUUACUAAGAAAUAGUAACUAGUUUCAGUUACUAGUUACUUCAUUCAAAAAGUAACGAGUUACUGUUAAAAGUAACUUUUAGUUAUUUUUUUAAGGACAUUCUUUAAUGUUCCCAUUAAUGCCGUUUUAUGUGUUAUAGUCUAUACAAACACACAACAGAUUUAAACACAAAGUAAUUUUUAAACACUAUUUUAUUUAAGUCAGACCAGUACAAACUGAAUAUAUCACAAGGAUUUCUAACGAGCUAACGAGCUGCCUGAAAGCAGAAACUACAUGCCUCAACGAAGCUAGAAUCGAACCUGGUGUCAGUGGACACACUCGAAGUUUUUACCGGACUGUUAGCCAGGGACAGAUCAAUAAAGCUAUUGCACGGUAUGUUGCUGAAAACAUGCAGCCUCUACUGUGGAGUCACCGGCUUUCUGGAGAUGCUUCGACAGAUUGGAGUUGCUGUUUAUCGCAGUAGAUAGGACCUUCGAACCAGAAAGACACAGCUUACAUUUGACUAAAAGGUUUUUGUCUUUAUGCUCAACUAAAGUGAAAUAAUGAGCAUAUUUCCACUUUGAGAAACUCAUCUUGCUCUCGCCUUGAAUCGCCAUUACUGGCGCACAUACAUGAAUAAACAGAAACACGCCCACAGUGCGUCUUCAUGUUUACAGUGGUUGGCAUCCACCAAUCCUACAAUGCGUCGCUGCUGUAAAUAGGUUAGACUGUAGGCUAGACAGCCAAAAUGAGUUAAUUAAAAAAAUAAUGGACAAACGCACCAGAUGGUAACGGAGUUAUUUUGUUUAAAAAGUAAUGCGUUAGCGUAUUAGUUACUGUCAAAAGUAACUGCGUUACAGUAACACGUUACUAGUAACGUGUUACUGCCCAACACUGAUUGGUUGUCAUGUCUUUGUCCCUGUUUCGUGUUAUUUAGUUAAUAAAUUCAGUUUAUUUUAGCUAUCCUGCAUUUGGGUUUGUUUUUAUCCCUGCAUUGCUGACAGAAGGAUUCCGCCAGACCAAGACCCAGCAGUAUAGCAUCAGCCUGGACCGGCUCCGUAGGUGUAUUUUUUUUCCUGGACUGUUUUUUUUGUGUGUGUGCCCCUUUUGUCUAAAAGUGUAAAGUGCCCCUCUCUUAUUAGUAAUAUUAUUAUUAUAAACAACAAUACACUUCUAUACCAUUUGCCAGUAACAAUAAUAAUUAACACAACACAAAAAAAAAAAAUUAGGCGAACUUAUUUACGUGGAGUUGGAGCGGAAGGCGGAUUUACCUUUACACGCUUUGCAGCCGCAUCUUAGAAGCGAGUCUUCAAAACAAGAGCAGCAGACAGGUAACGUGGAAAAUGGACAUUUAUCCUACCAUAAUGUUGUUGUAAACUUAGCGAAUACGCUAGCACGGGACUUAUGAUUAAUUAUAAUACAAGUAUUACUCGAAUGCUGCCACGUUUCUGACAUUGACAUGUCUUUUUUUUAUCCAAGGCCAUUAAUAGGCGCUAGUAUAGUUUAGAAUGUGCUCAUGUCAUUAGCUCGAGGAAAUGCAUUUAAUGAAAUUAAAUCUAAUUCCACGUCCAACUCUAACGUAAAACACAUUUAUAUAUUUGAUUUAAUGAUAGCUAACGCUUCAUCCAUGUAAUACAAAUAAAGUUUUCAAUAUCAACAAAACUAAACAUGAAUUCAACAUGAUUAACUUAUUGAUUCUCACUGUUAUCAUCAUCUCCUUAUUUUUGCUUGAUGUGUGCAUUCUGUGUCUAACAACAAAUUUAAUAGAAUGCCAAGGAAAGAGGGGGCACGGUGGCUUAGUGGUUAGCACGUUCGCCUCACACCUCCAGGGUUGGGGGUUUGAUUCCCGCCUCCACCUUGUGUGUGUGGAGUUUGCAUGUUCUCCCCGUGCCUCGGGGGUUCCUCCGGGUACUCCGGUUUCCUCCCCGGUCCAAAGACAUGCAUGGUGGGUUGAUUGUCAUCUCUGGAAAAUUGUCCCUAGUGUGUGAUUGAGUGAGUGAAUGAGAGUGUGUGUGUGCCCUGCGAUGGGUUGGCACUCCGUCCAGGGUGUAUCCUGCCUUGAUGCCCGAUGACGCCUGAGAUAGGCACAGGCUCCCCGUGACCCGAGGUAGUUCGGAUAAGCGGUAGAAGAUGAGUGAGUGCCAAGGAAAGAAAGGAUCAAAAGAAAAAACACAAGGACCUGUCUGAUACAGCUAAAGGUAGCAUCCCUGUCACAAGUUGGCUGAGGAGAGAGAAUAAAGAUGACGGUACUGUUUGUUUGUUUGUUUUUAUGUUUGUUUUUGUUUUUUUAAGCUAGUAAGCUAUUACUUAUAUUACAGUCUAAACAAUACUUUAGACAUUUUUGUUAAAUGAAUAAAUCACCCAAAUUGAUUAUUUUCUCAUUUAAUCAUCUAUAUAUUUCAAUUCUGUAUGACUUUCUUCUGUUGAAUAUUUACAAAAUUUGUUUUGUCCAUAUACUGAAAGCCAGUGGGGACCAAAAUGGAGUCCCCAUUAAUUCCAUUCAUUAUAUGGCCAUUUGUUUUUCAUAGAGAGCUGCAGUUCAGAUAAGGAAAGUAUUGAAGAGAUUCAAGGGAAAGCAGUUGAGACAAGUGAGAAAGAUAAAGGAGAUGUUAGAGCCAACGAGGAAGAAAGUGGGGAAAUACAAGGAGACAUUAGGCUCAGUGAGGAAGAGGUGGAAAGGGAGGUACAAGAAGAGAUGAGUCAAGAAAAUUAUACAGAGAUAACAGAGGAAGGAGCUGCAGGAGCAGAUAUUGAAUACCAGAUUCAGGGUACAAGUGAACAAGACAUUACAGUUUCCAACAGACCCAGCUCAUGUUGAUCUUAAAAUACAGGUUAAUAGCGACUACAUACAGUUCUGCUGCUCUCUUGGGCCAUGUCAGCCAGUAGCUGGCUUUCCAAAAAAUCCACAAGGAAUCCUAAAGUGCCUAAAAGACAAUGAGAUUGAGUCUGUUUUCCCCUCUCUUUCUGAACUCCUAAAAAUUUAUGCAACAUUGCCUGUCUCCACUUCUACAGUUAGGUCAUUUUCUAAGUUAAAACUUCUGAAAUCCAGUCUUCGAAGUCUAUGUAAUGAAGAGAGGCUUUCUGACCUACUGCUGCUCUCCAUUAAGCGAGACAUUCCAAUUAAUCGUGAUGGUCAUUCAAAUAUUUAAAAAGACAGCAGAUCGACGAAUACUGAUUUAAAUACAGUGCCCUUUUUGGUCCUUCCGCCCCUGCCCCACUGCAGAUACAGCAAGAUGUCUUAUCAUGUUGCAAUGGCAGUGUAUAUUAAACUUAAUUACAUUAUGUUUCACACUGGUUUGGCUGUUGGAAUCGGAGAAAGUUUCUGACUAUGAGCCAGAAUGAAGACUCAGUGGAAGAACAACUAAAUAAAAUCAAAAAAGAGAGCAGAUCAAUAAAAGGAUUCAUCACCAGAUAUAUUCUAAACACCAGGACUGUAAUUGAUGAUGAGUAAAUAUUAGAUGAUUAUCAAGCUUCAUUUACUCUGUUGAACACAACCAUG